This 412-nucleotide ribosomal RNA is filed under the name Salmonella enterica subsp. enterica serovar Typhimurium var. 5- str. CFSAN004345. Its description in RNAcentral is "bacterial LSU rRNA". It matches the Rfam family "Bacterial large subunit ribosomal RNA", at positions 1036 to 1446 of the family's 2925-position model. Lineage: Bacteria; Pseudomonadati; Pseudomonadota; Gammaproteobacteria; Enterobacterales; Enterobacteriaceae. The record is from RNAcentral.
CAGCUAAGGUCCCAAAGUCAUGGUUAAGUGGGAAACGAUGUGGGAAGGCCCAGACAGCCAGGAUGUUGGCUUAGAAGCAGCCAUCAUUUAAAGAAAGCGUAAUAGCUCACUGGUCGAGUCGGCCUGCGCGGAAGAUGUAACGGGGCUAAACCAUGCACCGAAGCUGCGGCAGCGACACUCAGGUGUUGUUGGGUAGGGGAGCGUUCUGUAAGCCUGUGAAGGUGUGCUGUGAGGCAUGCUGGAGGUAUCAGAAGUGCGAAUGCUGACAUAAGUAACGAUAAAGCGGGUGAAAAGCCCGCUCGCCGGAAGACCAAGGGUUCCUGUCCAACGUUAAUCGGGGCAGGGUGAGUCGACCCCUAAGGCGAGGCCGAAAGGCGUAGUCGAUGGGAAACGGGUUAAUAUUCCCGUACUU